RNAcentral lists this ribosomal RNA (400 nucleotides) under uncultured bacterium. RNAcentral's name for it is "bacterial SSU rRNA". It matches the Rfam family "Bacterial small subunit ribosomal RNA", at positions 355 to 752 of the family's 1533-position model. The record is from RNAcentral.
UGAGGAAUAUUGGUCAAUGGCCGUAAGGCUGAACCAGCCAAGUAGCGUGAGGGAUGACGGCCCUAUGGGUUGUAAACCUCUUUUAGACGGGGAUAAAGUGAGUGACGUGUCAUUCAUUGCAGGUACCGUCAGAAUAAGGACCGGCUAAUUCCGUGCCAGCAGCCGCGGUAAUACGGAAGGUCCGGGCGUUAUCCGGAUUUAUUGGGUUUAAAGGGAGCGUAGGCCGCGGAUUAAGCGUGUUGUGAAAUGCAGGGGCUCAACCUCUGGACUGCAGCGCGAACUGGUCCGCUUGAGUGCGCACGAGGCAGGCGGAAUUUGUGGUGUAGCGGUGAAAUGCUUAGAUAUCACGAAGAACCCCGAUUGCGAAGGCAGCUUGCCGGGGCGCGACUGACGCUGAAGC